GAACGCUAGACGGGCAGGCUUAACACAUGCAAGUCGAGGGGUAUGGUUUUCGGACCAAGAGACCGGCGCACGGGUGCGUAACGCGUAUGCAAUCUACCUUUCACAGAGGGAUAGCCCAGAGAAAUUUAGGAUUAAUACCUCAUAGUAUAGCAGUUUCGCAUGAAACCACUAUUAAAGUCACAACGGUGAAAGAUGAGCAUGCGUCCCAUUAGCUAGUUGGUAAGGUAACGGCUUACCAUGGCAAUGAUGGGUAGGGGUCCUGAGAGGGAGAUCCCCCACACUGGUACUGAGACACGGACCAGACUCCUACGGGAGGCAGCAGUGAGGAAUAUUGGACAAUGGGCGCAAGCCUGAUCCAGCCAUGCCGCGUGCAGGAUGACGGUCCUAUGGAUUGUAAACUGCUUUUGUACAGGAAGAAACACUCCCUCGUGAGGGAGCUUGACGGUACUGUAAGAAUAAGGAUCGGCUAACUCCGUG
Molecule: ribosomal RNA, 477 nt
Filed under: uncultured bacterium
Lineage: Bacteria
Description: bacterial SSU rRNA
Rfam family: Bacterial small subunit ribosomal RNA
Source: RNAcentral